CGAAAAGCUGGAGAAGAUAAGGAAUAUUAAAAUUGUAAACAAUUUUAAAAGCAAUUAGAAUUUAAGGUAGUAAACUAGUUUUUAGAAAUCUCGUUUUAACUUGAUGAAGCUAAUGUUGGUCUCAAUUGGCUAUAAAGGCUUUGUAAAUUGUCCCAUACAAUACAGUUUUCCUAAGGAAUCUUAACAAACCAAAACUCUUUCUCAGCAAAAGCAACAUGAAAUCCUUCUACGCUUCUAUUGUUAUAGUCAUCAUGGGUCUCUUGGCAAUUACUUCUGCCGAUCCUGAACCUCAAUGGAAUGCAGACACAAUUUCUAAAUUGAUUAAAGCCUUCCAGGGUUCAGAGAACUAAAACACCUAUGCAAUAUGCCAUGAAAAAUCAAAUAAAAUGCAAAAUAUUGAA
Stomoxys calcitrans (stable fly) is the source of this 401-nucleotide long non-coding RNA. RefSeq lists it as uncharacterized. The transcript has 2 exons. The record is from RefSeq and is a predicted model, not a curated record. NCBI's taxonomy places the organism in Eukaryota, Metazoa, Arthropoda, Insecta, Diptera, Muscidae.